GACGAACGCUGGCGGCGUGCUUAACACAUGCAAGUCGAGCGGUAAGGCCCUUCGGGGGUACACGAGCGGCGAACGGGUGAGUAACACGUGGGUGACCUGCCCUCCACUUCGGGAUAAGCCUGGGAAACUGGGUCUAAUACCGGGAUAGGACCUCCUCAUGCAUGGUGGGGUGGUGGAAAGUCCGUGUUCUUUGAUGCGGUCGGUGGGGGAUGGGCCCGCGGUCUAUCAGCUUGUUGGGUGGGGUGAUGGCCCACCAAGGCGACGACGGAUAGCCGGCCUGAGAGGGUGAUCGGCCACACUGGGACUGAGACACGGCCCAGACUCCUACGGGAGGCAG
RNAcentral lists this ribosomal RNA (337 nucleotides) under uncultured bacterium. RNAcentral's name for it is "bacterial SSU rRNA". It matches the Rfam family "Bacterial small subunit ribosomal RNA", at positions 28 to 351 of the family's 1533-position model. The record is from RNAcentral.